This 156-nucleotide ribosomal RNA is filed under the name Triticum aestivum (bread wheat). Its description in RNAcentral is "rRNA 5_8S_rRNA". It matches the Rfam family "5.8S ribosomal RNA". Rfam says of the family: 5.8S ribosomal RNA (5.8S rRNA) is a component of the large subunit of the eukaryotic ribosome. It is transcribed by RNA polymerase I as part of the 45S precursor that also contains 18S and 28S rRNA. Lineage: Eukaryota; Viridiplantae; Streptophyta; Magnoliopsida; Poales; Poaceae. The record is from RNAcentral.
GACUCUCGGCAACGGAUAUCUCGGCUCUCGCAUCGAUGAAGAACGUAGCGAAAUGCGAUACCUGGUGUGAAUUGCAGAAUCCCGCGAACCAUCGAGUCUUUGAACGCAAGUUGCGCCCUAGGCCACUCGGCCGAGGGCACGCCUGCCUGGGCGUCA